RNAcentral lists this ribosomal RNA (460 nucleotides) under uncultured bacterium. Its description in RNAcentral is "partial 16S ribosomal RNA". It matches the Rfam family "Bacterial small subunit ribosomal RNA", at positions 338 to 795 of the family's 1533-position model. The record is from RNAcentral.
CCUACGGGAGGCAGCAGUGAGGACUAUUGGUCAAUGGGCGCUAGCCUGAACCAGCCAAGUAGCGUGAAGGAUGACUGCCCUAUGGGUUGUAACCUUCUUUUAUAUGGGAAUAAAGUGCAGUAUGUAUACUGCUUUUCAUGUACCUUAUGAAUAAGGAUCGGCUAACUCCGUGCCAGCAGCCGCGGUAAUACGGAGGAUCCGAGCGUUAUCCGGAUUUAUUGGGUUUAAAGGGAGCGUAGGCGGGUUGUUAAGUCAGUUGUGAAAGUUUGCGGCUCAACCGUAAAAUUGCAGUUGAUACUGGCAUCCUUGAGUACAGUAGAGGUAGGCGGAAUUCGUGGUGUAGCGGUGAAAUGCUUAGAUAUCACGAAGAACUCCGAUUGCGAAGGCAGCCUGCUGGACUGUAACUGACGCUGAUGCUCGAAAGUGUGGGUAUCAAACAGGAUUAGAUACCCCAGUAGUC